Molecule: ribosomal RNA, 452 nt
Filed under: uncultured bacterium
Lineage: Bacteria
Description: bacterial SSU rRNA
Rfam family: Bacterial small subunit ribosomal RNA
Source: RNAcentral
AACGAACGCUGGCGGCAGGCUUAACACAUGCAAGUCGAGCGAAGACUUCGGUCUUAGCGGCGGACGGGUGAGUAACGCGUGGGAACAUACCCUUUGCUACGGAACAGUCCCGGGAAACUGGGUUUAAUACCGUAUACGCCCUUCGGGGGAAAGAUUUAUCGGCAAAGGAUUGGCCCGCGUUGGAUUAGGUAGUUGGUGGGGUAAUGGCCCACCAAGGCUACGAUCAGUAGCUGGUCUGAGAGGAUGAUCAGCCACAUUGGGACUGAGACACGGCCCAAACUCCUACGGGAGGCAGCAGUGGGGAAUAUUGGACAAUGGGGGCAACCCUGAUCCAGCCAUGCCGCGUGAGUGAUGAAGGCCCUAGGGUUGUAAAGCUCUUUUAGCAGGGAAGAUAAUGACGGUACCUGCAGAAAAAGCCCCGGCUAACUUCGUGCCAGCCGCCGCAGUAAUAC